This 321-nucleotide long non-coding RNA is filed under the name Elaeis guineensis (African oil palm). RNAcentral's name for it is "long non-coding RNA (EGUI_LNC066631)". Lineage: Eukaryota; Viridiplantae; Streptophyta; Magnoliopsida; Arecales; Arecaceae. The record is from RNAcentral.
CCUCCUUGCCUCUCUCUCCCCUUCUAUCUCUAGAGGAAGAAAGGGAAAGGAAACUAGUCCCUCUCCAUUGCCUGUCAUCCUUUCUCUCUCUCCCCCACACCACUGUCAUCUACCCUCGACUGCUCACUCUCAUCUCUCUCUCUUUCUUCCUUUUCUAUGUUUUUCUCUCUCACAUACUCUCCCCUUCUCUAAGCUAAGCUAGAGGGGUCCCCAAUCGUGUUUCCAUCUCACACUCUAUCGAGGAAAACAAAGCGAGGAUAGUGGCCUAGCUAUUAGAACAAUGGCCAUUUUCCCAGUUAAAACGGUCAUUCUUUUAAAAUC